GCCCUGGUGGUGAAACUGGUAGACACGCUAUCUUGAGGGGGUAGUGCCGAAAGGCGUCGCGGUUCGAGUCCGCGCCAGGGCA
Molecule: transfer RNA, 82 nt
Filed under: Gemmatimonadota bacterium
Lineage: Bacteria; Pseudomonadati; Gemmatimonadota
Also listed under: 2 other names
Description: Gemmatimonadetes bacterium tRNA-Leu
Source: RNAcentral